AACGCACGAGACCUGCGGACCUGCGGAAGGAUCAUUAACAAAUCCAUUGGCGCGCAUCCAAAUGUCUCCAUGCAUUGGGGAUGCAGCGACACAUGUACCGUGUGCACGUUUACUCUGUACACUGUUUACAUUUCUACGAAUUAUCUGAUUGUUUACAAAUUAUGCAUAAAUGUCAACUUUCAACAAUGGAUCUCU
This 195-nucleotide unclassified non-coding RNA is filed under the name soil metagenome. RNAcentral describes it as "partial contains 5.8S ribosomal RNA, internal transcribed spacer 2, and large subunit ribosomal RNA". The record is from RNAcentral.